GGCUUUAUAUUCAAUAAUGAAUGAUAUUAGAUUGCAAAUCUAAAGGAGUGGAAAAAUUAAAUCUGCUAAGGCUU
Molecule: transfer RNA, 74 nt
Filed under: Diestrammena asynamora
Lineage: Eukaryota; Metazoa; Arthropoda; Insecta; Orthoptera; Rhaphidophoridae
Description: tRNA-Cys
Source: RNAcentral